AUGACGUCACUGAAGUCAUUUGUUGAGAGACCUCAUCCGGUUUUACGCAGGAGCUUUAGCCACAGUGUGGUAGGCGAGAGAAGUGCCUGCUGUCAGGAGGCUGCAGCAGGAAAUCUGCCACUGGAUGAGCUGCCAUGGGCUGCGGACAGGUUGUUGGGCCUUUGCCAGUCCAAGAACAUAAAAACUAUUCCUGUUUGUGCAUCUGGUGUUACUUGCUGCAAGGGGUUGGCACUAGAUCCAAAUAUAGUGCUACAAUUUUAAUUAUUUUUUUUUCUUGUGCUUCCUGCCUGUUGUGGAAAAAGAAUCUGUGACCACUUUCUUUAACUUCUCCCUUCCUAUAGAAAUGCAGUGAGCAAAGUGAUUUACACUUAAAGGGCAAGCAAUUGUUCAUUUGGCUAUAUUGUAAUUUUUUUUUUAUAGUGAAGAGGAUGGUAAAAAUGUAUGUUCAUAUCAAUUUAAAACCCAAGUUUUUUGCAAACUGCACUGUUAAAUUCUGUAUUGAAUAUGUUGUAAUCCCCUAAAAGCCUCUUCCUUUCUGGCAAGCUCAAAAACAUUGCAUCUGUGGUUUCUAUCUUAAUUCCAGUUGGUUCAGAAUGGAGCAAUAUAUGUGUUAGGAAUUACAGUUUGUGACUGCAGUUUUGAAUUUCUUUUUCUUACAAAUGGAGCAUCCCAUAUCUGUGAAUGUUGCAUAAGAAAAGUUGUUUGCCUUGUUUUGUCCACCCCAAAAUGUGUUCUAGAAACCAGGCUGUGUUUCCCUCUCCACCACCUGUUGUAUCCCCUUCCUGUCUCUCUGUGUCUGUGUGAUUUCAUUUGAGUCCCAAAGGCUUAAGGAAUGUCCUAUUUUGUUUAACAUUAGCUUUGUUUACAUUAGUUUGACAGGUGAUGAAUUUCGAAUUGCUUCUGCAACCUGAAAAUCGUUUUUCUUUUGACAUAUGACACAUCUCUUCACUUUCAGAUGCUUUUGGCCUUUUAGGGUUGCACAGCAAUAUUUAAAAUCAUUGCAUUAUCUAAUGCUUGCAAGUAACAACAACAAAAAAAUUGACAUGUAAUAAAUUUGGAUAAAUUCUAUGUCA
RNAcentral lists this long non-coding RNA (1073 nucleotides) under Coturnix japonica (Japanese quail). RNAcentral describes it as "lncRNA (ENSCJPG00005011885.1)". The record is from RNAcentral. Lineage: Eukaryota; Metazoa; Chordata; Aves; Galliformes; Phasianidae.